Molecule: long non-coding RNA, 457 nt
Organism: Xenia sp. Carnegie-2017
Lineage: Eukaryota; Metazoa; Cnidaria; Anthozoa; Malacalcyonacea; Xeniidae
Exons: 3
Source: RefSeq, a predicted model, not a curated record
AGCGUGUUCACCACUUAGGAUUAAAACUGGACGUUCAACCAACAUGUACUGUGAAUCAAGCUGAGUAUUUUUAUGCGUGACGUUCUUGCCUUGUGGUAAAUUUUGAUGGACACAAGUGAAGGUCAUGUUGAUAACGAUCGUAUUUCUCAAAUUGAUCAUUUUUUCAACGUACAUCAAAGGAACGCCUAUAUUCGUACGCUGGACGUAUCUAUUUUUUAUCAUGCCUGACGCAUUUCAGUCCAGUGUGUUUUAAUCGAUAAUCCAGGCAUAUGCCAUAUUGAUUUAAAAAGAAGUAUAUAGCAAACAUGUACAAGAAUGUAGGUAUAAUAUUUCCAUAUGAUCUCAAUAACGCACAAGAUUAAUAAGUGGGUAAUGUGCAAUUAUAAUGAAACCUACGAGUAUUUUGAAGUCAUUUUUGAUAAGCCUUAACAAUCAAUGGUACAACAAUUUUUUAUGA